RNAcentral lists this ribosomal RNA (478 nucleotides) under uncultured bacterium. Its description in RNAcentral is "partial 16S ribosomal RNA". It matches the Rfam family "Bacterial small subunit ribosomal RNA", at positions 28 to 507 of the family's 1533-position model. The record is from RNAcentral.
GAUGAACGCUGGCGGCGUGCUUAACACAUGCCAGUCGAACGGGAAACCUUUUAUUGAAGCUUCGGCAGAUUUAGCUGGUUUCUAGUGGCGGACGGGUGAGUAACGCGUGGGUAACCUGCCUUAUACAGGGGGAUAACAGUCAGAAAUGGCUGCUAAUACCGCAUAAGCGCACAGAGCUGCAUGGCUCAGUGUGAAAAACUCCGGUGGUAUAAGAUGGACCCGCGUUGGAUUAGCUGGUUGGUGGGGUAACGGCCCACCAAGGCGACGAUCCAUAGCCGGCCUGAGAGGGUGAACGGCCACAUUGGGACUGAGACACGGCCCAGACUCCUACGGGAGGCAGCAGUGGGGAAUAUUGCACAAUGGGGGAAACCCUGAUGCAGCGACGCCGCGUGAAGGAAGAAGUAUCUCGGGAUGUAAACUUCUACCAGCAGGGAAGAUAAUGACGGUACCUGACGAAGAAGCCCCGGCUAACUACGUG